UUAUACAGCAUGGAAUAUCUCCUUGGCCAGGCAGGGUCAGCUGUCCCAGCUGUGUGCUCUCCCAAACUCCUGCCCAAUCCAAACUGCUUGCACUGAGGUAGAUUGUGAUAGAAAAGGCCUUGACUCUAUGCAAGCACCAUUGAGCUGUGGCUAAACAGUGGCAUGUUACCACCACUGGUUUUGUCACAAAUUAUAGCUGUAGCCUCACACAGGAUGCUAGGAAGAAAGUUAACUCCAUCCCAGCCAGACCCAGUAUACUGCUGGACAACAAAGGACAAUUACAGGCGCUGAAUUCAGAUUACAAAAGCAAGUGGUCAGGUUGUUUACAGCUCUGCUCUAGCCCAGAGUUCAGAUUGUUGAGCAAUGGGGUUUGAAGUUUGGAGGAGGAAGAUUUGGACACAAUGGAAUUAUCUGAGAUGUGAACACAGGCCAGGAGAACAACCACAGACUUUCAGCCCUCUUCAGGAGCAGACCCAGCAUAUUUCACUCACCUUGUUCUGAUGAAACUUCACUACUUCUGAUGAAGGAGGAAGUGGAGAUGCCAACAUUUGAUGCUGAUUCAGAGGCACCCACCACAUGCUAUAAAAACUGCUGCCUGAAAGGGAUUAUGUGUUCCUUGAACUAUUAUACGCUUAAGGAGAUAUGAAUAAACUUCCAAAUUCCAAAAUGAUUGAAAAAAUAGAAAUACUCCCACAGAAAAGGAAAAAAAAAAAAGAGAGAGAGAACCAAAAAGGAACUAGAAGAAAUGGAAUCAAUUCAUGACAAAUUUUGCCAACACAUUUCAUAUGAAUAAGAUGUCAGAUGUCCUGGAGUUAUUUCUACAACAAGUCUACAAACAAGAACUGUCAGUACAGGA
Molecule: long non-coding RNA, 856 nt
Organism: Passer domesticus (house sparrow)
Lineage: Eukaryota; Metazoa; Chordata; Aves; Passeriformes; Passeridae
Exons: 3
Source: RefSeq, a predicted model, not a curated record